GUGAGACAGUUCGGUCCCUAUCCGGCGCGGGCGUAGGAUAUUUGAGAGGAGCUGUCCUUAGUACGAGAGGACCGGGAUGGACUGGCCGCUGGUGUACCUGUUGGGAUACCAAUUCCAUAGCAGGGUAGCCAAGCCGGGAAGGGAUAAACGCUGAAGGCAUCUAAGCGUGAAGCCCCCCUCAAGAUGAGAUAUCCCAUGACGUUAAGUCAGUAAGACCCCUUGAAGACGACGAGGUAGAUAGGGCAGAGGUGGAAGUGCCGUAAGGCAUGGAGCUGACUGUUACUAAUAGGUCGAGGGCAUGACCAG
Molecule: ribosomal RNA, 306 nt
Filed under: Candidatus Mediterraneibacter cottocaccae
Lineage: Bacteria; Bacillati; Bacillota; Clostridia; Lachnospirales; Lachnospiraceae
Description: partial 23S ribosomal RNA
Rfam family: Bacterial large subunit ribosomal RNA
Source: RNAcentral